CUUUCAUUAUUUCCUUUCCGGUAAACCCCGAGACCGAUGAUGAUCCGGUGAUCGACUACUUCCCGGUCGAGGAUCCGUUUUGUCUGCACAGCAACCAGGCAAGCAAACCCCCUUGAUCAUUCAUAUAUCGCCCAUUUCUUUCUUCCUCAUGCUUGCAUUAGAAUUUUGCUAUUGUUGUAGUUAGCUCCUAUAUCUGAUGCAUAGCCUAAUUUUGACGAACUGCUACUUCGAGUACUGCACCUUUAAACUGCUUAGUAUAGGUGGAGCAAUCAUCCCCUUUGACCCCUUAGUCCAGUUGCCCCGCUUUAUUAUCAAGUCUUAAUCCCUGAUCGACGAGCCAAGAUCCGACACAUCACUCACACCCCCCUUAGUUGAACGACACUACAGAGCUACUAUCGGGUACCUAGGGUGACACCUCGCGAAGUAUUCAUGAUGAUAUCUUUGUAGGGCAGUUACUCGGUCAUGGUUAUCGAGGGUGAUUCCUCCUUCAGCACUCCCGGCGACGACUCUGUCGUGCAACCCGUCAAGUGUGUGACCCUCGAGGGUGAUUCCUCUAAGUCCACCUUGACGGUUACAUCGUUCGGGAUCCAACGAGGCUGAUACCUCGAAUCCCGCUGAUGUUACAACAACACAGUUACCCGACCAUGUUACUGGAUCUUUGACGAAUAAUGUUAGGCGGGUGGAUUCCCACGUGGAUGUGUCGAUGAGUUAAUUAAAAUGUUAAUGGAUUUGGAUAUUUGAUCUGGAUUGGUGGGAGACCUUUUCGCACUAACCGGCUACGCGGGAGAAGUUAUGGGUACUCGACGUCGUGGUAUCAGUCCAAGCUUUUUAGACGUCAGCAAUCGAGCGGCGCGCGCCCGAGUGGUCCCGAGAUGCAUCGCGCUUGUAUUAAGGGGUCCUAGGACUGACAUCGGCCGCCCAUGCAUCAUGCAGGAGCGCAGAGGGCAAGUGGGCCCAGGAACCCUUUAUGCUUAGGAUUUAGACCGGCGGACUGGCCUCUCUGUUGAGUCUAGGUGGGGCUGCGACGUGUCGAUAUUCCGAGGCCGGGCAUGAUCCAGAAAAGUGUGUCCGGCCAGAGUGUUAUCGAGCGUGACGGGAAACUUGUUGCACCCCUACAGGGAUGAAAAUUAAAUAUUCGGAUAGCCGUGUCGACGGUUACAUGACGACUUGGAGUUGUGCACUGAUGUUAUACAACUACAACUGUUACUUAACUGGAAUAGUUGCUCCGGGAUUACUUCCUCGCAGGGAGUCGAGGGAGAAUCUCGGGGCAUGACCUCAUAUUAAUAUUCCUGCAACAAUAUGACUUUUAGUUGUGUUACCUGUUCUACUCUUGUCUACUGGUGCAAGACCCUUGAAGAUGCUAGUCUUUGAUAGCACUAGGCCUUCUCUCUCUUUCUCGCAUUGUUGUAGUCAGUCCACAUAUAAACCCCUUCCUUUGAUAUUGUUGCAUACUUAGCAUAGUUUUGAUGUCAGUCUUGCGAGUACUUUGGAUGAGUACUCACCGUUGUUUUGCUCCCCUUUUUUCCCCGUGAUCCGUUGUUGCGACCAGAUGAUGGAGCCCAGGAGAUGGAGUAUCCCGCCGACGACGACUGCUACCCCGACGGUGUUGACUGCUACGUGGAGGCCGCUGAAGACCAGGAUUAGUUAGGAGGCUCCCAGGCAGGAGGCCUCGCUUCGUUCGAUCAUUGUAUCUUUUGUGCUAGCCUUCUCUAAGGCAUCCCAUGUUUAAUGUAUGUACUCAGAUAUUUGUUGCUUCCGCUGACUCGUGUAUUUAUCGAGCUUCUGUAUUCUAGCCCUCGAGGCCCCUGGUUUGUAAUUGGAAGCUUAUAUGUUUUAUUUUGUGUCUAGAGUUGUGUUGUGAUAUCUUUCGUAAGUCCUUGAGCUUGGUCAUACGCAUUUGCGUGUAUGAUUAGUGUACGAUCAAAUCGAGGGCGUCACACUCAACCAGGUAGUAAUAAAGAAUCUGAAAAUGAUGUGGAAAUAGAAACUAUUGAAGAUCUUGAUAACCCACAUCCUAGAAAUAAACGUUAUGAGAAAAAA
RNAcentral lists this long non-coding RNA (2040 nucleotides) under Hordeum vulgare. Its description in RNAcentral is "long non-coding RNA (HVUL_LNC001101)". Lineage: Eukaryota; Viridiplantae; Streptophyta; Magnoliopsida; Poales; Poaceae. The record is from RNAcentral.